AGAGUUUGAUCAUGGCUCAGGACGAACGCUGGCGGCGUGCCUAAUACAUGCAAGUAGAACGCUGAAGAGAGGAGCUUGCUCUUCUUGGAUGAGUUGCGAACGGGUGAGUAACGCGUAGGUAACCUGCCUGGUAGCGGGGGAUAACUAUUGGAAACGAUAGCUAAUACCGCAUGAUAUUAAUUAUCGCAUGAUAAUUAAUUGAAAGAUGCAAUUGCAUCACUACCAGAUGGACCUGCGUUGUAUUAGCUAGUUGGUGAGGUAACGGCUCACCAAGGCGACGAUACAUAGCCGACCUGAGAGGGUGAUCGGCCACACUGGGACUGAGACACGGCCCAGACUCCUACGGGAGGCAGCAGUAGGGAAUCUUCGGCAAUGGGGGGAACCCUGACCGAGCAACGCCGCGUGAGUGAAGAAGGUUUUCGGAUCGUAAAGCUCUGUUGUAAGAGAAGAACGGGUGUGAGAGUGGAAAGUUCACACUGUGACGGUAUCUUACCAGAAAGGGACGGCUAACUACGUGCCAGCAGCCGCGGUAAUACGUAGGUCCCGAGCGUUGUCCGGAUUUAUUGGGCGUAAAGCGAGCGCAGGCGGUUAGAUAAGUCUGAAGUUAAAGGCUGUGGCUUAACCAUAGUAUGCUUGGAAACUGUUUAACUUGAGUGCAGAAGGGGAGAGUGGAAUUCCAUGUGUAGCGGUGAAAUGCGUAGAUAUAUGGAGGAACACCGGUGGCGAAAGCGGCUCUCUGGUCUGUAACUGACGCUGAAGCUCGAAAGCGUGGGGAGCAAACAGGAUUAGAUACCCUGGUA
This 800-nucleotide ribosomal RNA is filed under the name uncultured bacterium. RNAcentral describes it as "bacterial SSU rRNA". It matches the Rfam family "Bacterial small subunit ribosomal RNA", at positions 8 to 792 of the family's 1533-position model. The record is from RNAcentral.